This 827-nucleotide long non-coding RNA is filed under the name Mytilus galloprovincialis (Mediterranean mussel). Lineage: Eukaryota; Metazoa; Mollusca; Bivalvia; Mytilida; Mytilidae. The record is from RNAcentral.
AUCUUUAUUCCUCAAAAUAUUUUUUUUUCGUACAUUUUUUAGGAUGAAUACUCAAAAUCAAUGUUGUCUAAAAAAGCUGAUUAAUGGGGUGCUUAAAUGUGCAUUUUUUUACAUAAAAAAUAAGAGUAAGGUAAAACGACUGAAAUAUGUCUCAUAAUUCUGUAAAAGCAUAUGAAAAUUAAAAAUGUAAGUUGAUAACCCCAUCUUUGUUAGUUGGUUGUACCAUAUUAAUCUUGACGCUUGAAUAUCUGAUCUUUCUUAGAAAUUACCCAAAUAAACGAGGCGAUUAACAGAAAAGAAAAUACCCCCCCCCCCCCAAAAAAAAAGAAGAAAAAAUGUGCCAAAAAAAAUAAAGAAAAAAGACUGAAAAAUGGGGUGCUAAAAUGUACAAUUUUCUUCUAUAAAAAUUAAGAAUAAGGUAAAACGAGUGAAAUAUUGAACUGGUCGUAAUCGGAAUUGGUCAAUUGAUGUACGUAAGCAUUGCAAUUUCUGUUCAUCCAUAACCAUCAGUAUUUUGCUCAAAAAUCACGAUCUUGCAUCAGGAGUUAACAAAUCUUGACGUUUUAUUUCGUCCACUAUUACAGACAAAGUCAACCUAACAUCCUUCUCCUGCAUUGUGUCAGAAAUUACACAAACAUUACACCAUAAUAAAACAGUUCGUGUCAGAGAUCAGACCAAUAUGAUCAUUGACAAAAACGCUGCAAUAGUGGAAAACAAAUUGAAAACAACAAAUCAGAAAUAUGGCAAAGAGACGAAGGUCAACUUUGUCCGAGUUGAAAUCUCAGUUUCUUUAGAUUUUUCAAAAUUUAUAAAUGAACAACUAACGG